UUGUUCGCAAUGGGCGCAAGCCUGACGACGCAACGCCGCGUGGAGGAUGAAGAUCUUCGGGUCGUAAACUCCUUUCGAUCGAGACGAACGGCUUCCGGGCUAAUCACCGGGAGAGUGACGGUACCGAGAGAAGAAGCCCCGGCUAACUCCGUGCCAGCAGCCGCGGUAAUACGGGGGGGGCAAGCGUUGUUCGGAAUUACUGGGCGUAAAGGGCUCGUAGGCGGCAAACUAAGUCAGACGUGAAAUCCCUCGGCUUAACCGGGGAACUGCGUCUGAUACUGGAUGGCUGGAGUUUGGGAGAGGGAUGCGGAAUUCCAGGUGUAGCGGUGAAAUGCGUAGAUAUCUGGAGGAACACCGGUGGCGAAGGCGGCAUCCUGGAACAAUACUGACGCUGAGGAGCGAAAGCCAGGGGAGCAAACG
Molecule: ribosomal RNA, 420 nt
Filed under: uncultured bacterium
Lineage: Bacteria
Description: bacterial SSU rRNA
Rfam family: Bacterial small subunit ribosomal RNA
Source: RNAcentral